Molecule: long non-coding RNA, 521 nt
Filed under: Olea europaea subsp. europaea
Lineage: Eukaryota; Viridiplantae; Streptophyta; Magnoliopsida; Lamiales; Oleaceae
Source: RNAcentral
GAUAACAUCACGUUACUCCAUGAACAAAAUGCAAUUUAAAAUUUAUACAAAUAAUUAUAAAAAAAAAAAAAGUAGAUUUUACUUCAAAAUAUACAAAUUAACUUUUCUUACGUAUAAUUAAUAAGAGCUCAAUUUUAGUUCCAACAAUAAAAUUCGCAUCAUUGGGCCCCCAGAAAAAUAUUAGACUACAAUUGGUGGGGUGCGCCAGGCCCAUGCUAUAGUGCAAGACAUGGACGACGCUCGACGGCCCGAGCAGCAAGCUACCCAUUGGACCUUCCCCCUUAAAAAAUUAAUUUAAUAUCGUGUGGGCCAAUGGCCCACAUAUCAGAUAUUAAACUGAUAAGAACAGAUACUACACUUGAUCUUAGCCAAAAGGCCGAGAAAGGUAUGCUUUUAAUUUUAUUGGCCCGUCCAAUUUAUAGCUUCCUUCUGCAACUUUGUUUAAUUUGACUGCCGAUGUGGGAUGUGAAAUGGAAAAGCCUUUCCAGUUUAAACUCCUCUUCCUCUUCUUCCACCUUCAG